Molecule: ribosomal RNA, 514 nt
Filed under: uncultured bacterium
Lineage: Bacteria
Description: bacterial SSU rRNA
Rfam family: Bacterial small subunit ribosomal RNA
Source: RNAcentral
GAGUUUGAUCGUGGCUCAGAUUGAACGCUGGCGGCAGGCCUAACACAUGCAAGUCGAGCGGUAGAGAGAAGCUUGCUUCUCUUGAGAGCGGCGGACGGGUGAGUAAUGCCUAGGAAUCUGCCUGGUAGUGGGGGAUAACGCUCGGAAACGGACGCUAAUACCGCAUACGUCCUACGGGAGAAAGCAGGGGACCUUCGGGCCUUGCGCUAUCAGAUGAGCCUAGGUCGGAUUAGCUAGUUGGUGAGGUAAUGGCUCACCAAGGCGACGAUCCGUAACUGGUCUGAGAGGAUGAUCAGUCACACUGGAACUGAGACACGGUCCAGACUCCUACGGGAGGCAGCAGUGGGGAAUAUUGGACAAUGGGCGAAAGCCUGAUCCAGCCAUGCCGCGUGUGUGAAGAAGGUCUUCGGAUUGUAAAGCACUUUAAGUUGGGAGAAGGGCAGUAAAUUAAUAACUUUGCUGUUUUGACGUUACCGACAGAAUAAAGCACCGGCUAACUCUGUGCCAGCCGCCG